RNAcentral lists this ribosomal RNA (274 nucleotides) under uncultured bacterium. Its description in RNAcentral is "partial 16S ribosomal RNA". It matches the Rfam family "Archaeal small subunit ribosomal RNA", at positions 473 to 747 of the family's 1478-position model. The record is from RNAcentral.
AUACCAGCACACCGAGUGGUCGGAACGAUUAUUGGGCCUAAAGCAUCCGUAGCCGGUGUAGCAAGUCCUCCGGUAAAUCCACUUGCUCAACAAGUGGGCUGCGGAGGAUACUGCUACACUAGGGGGCGGGAGAGGCGAGGGGUAUUCCACGGGUAGGGGUAAAAUCCUCUGAUCCGUGGAGGACCACCAGUGGCGAAGGCGCCUCGCCAGAACGCGCCCGACGGUGAGGGAUGAAAGCUGGGGGAGCAAACCGGAUUAGAAACCCUAGUAGUCC